GUGUGGUAGAGAGAGGCAGAGUGAGGUAGAGAGAGACAGAGUGAGGUAGAGUGUGGUAGAGAGAGGCAGAGUGAAGUAGAGUGUGGUAGAGAGAGGCAGAGUGAGGUAGAGAGAGGCAGAGGGAGGGGUAGAGUGUGGUAGAGAGAGGCAGAGUGAGGGGUAGAGUGUGGUAGAGAGAGGCAGAGUGUGGUAGAGUGUGGUAGAGAGAGGCAGAGUGAGGUAGAGAGAGGCAGAGUGAGGUAGAGAGAGGCAGAGUGAGGUAGAGAGAGACAGAGUGAGGUAGAGUGUGAUAGAGAGAGGCAGAGUGAGGUAGAGAGAGACAGAGUGAGGUAGAGUGUGGUAGAGAGAGGCAGAGUGAGGUAGAGAGAGACAGAGUGAGGUAGAGUGUGGUAGAGAGAGGCAGAGUGAGGUAGAGAGAGACAGAGUGAGGUAGAGUGUGAUAGAGAGAGGCAGAGUGAGGUAGAGAGAGACAGAGUGAGGUAGAGUGUGGUAGAGAGAGGCAGAGUGAGGUAGAGUGAGGCAGAGUGAGGGGUAGAGUGUGGUAGAGAGAGGCAGAGUGAGGUAGAGAGAGGCAGAGGGAGGGGUAGAGUGUGGUAGAGAGAGGCAGAGU
This is a long non-coding RNA of Astyanax mexicanus (Mexican tetra), 610 nucleotides long. RefSeq lists it as uncharacterized. The transcript has 3 exons. NCBI's taxonomy places the organism in Eukaryota, Metazoa, Chordata, Actinopteri, Characiformes, Acestrorhamphidae. The record is from RefSeq and is a predicted model, not a curated record.